AGGAUAUGUGUAGAAGGUCUACGUUUGGAUUGCAAAUCUAAAAAAAAAGGAUCAAUACCUUGAUAUCCUU
This 70-nucleotide transfer RNA is filed under the name Pseudofabraea citricarpa. RNAcentral's name for it is "tRNA-Cys". Lineage: Eukaryota; Fungi; Ascomycota; Leotiomycetes; Helotiales; Dermateaceae. The record is from RNAcentral.